CGAGGUCAAAUGGAGUAGCCAAUAGGCGAAAGACGACCUUCGCAAAAGGAGACGUACUUCCCUGGGUGAAAGUCCUUAAAACUGCCUUACGACGAUCACACACGGACGCUGCUUGCAUGGCGAAGAAUUGCGCUACCUUCGUUUCAUGUGUGGGAUCAAAGUAGUUUAGAUGCGCACCUACAAAACAACUAUGCGAAAGGCGAAAACUUAUUAUGACAAGC
Molecule: non-coding RNA, 221 nt
Submitted as: unclassified sequences
Source: Rfam